Molecule: ribosomal RNA, 253 nt
Filed under: uncultured bacterium
Lineage: Bacteria
Description: partial 16S ribosomal RNA
Rfam family: Bacterial small subunit ribosomal RNA
Source: RNAcentral
UACGUAGGGAGCAAGCGUUGUCCGGAAUCAUUGGGCGUAAAGCGCGCGUAGGUGGCUUCGUAAGUCCGUUGUGAAAGUCAAAGGCUCAACCUUUGAAAGCCGAUGGAUACUGCGGAGCUAGAGUACGGAAGAGGCGAGUGGAAUUCCUGGUGUAGCGGUGGAAUGCGCAGAUAUCAGGAGGAACACCAAUAGCGAAGGCAGCUCGCUGGGACGUUACUGACGCUGAGACGCGAAAGCGUGGGGAGCAAACAGG